Molecule: ribosomal RNA, 228 nt
Filed under: uncultured soil bacterium
Lineage: Bacteria
Description: partial 16S ribosomal RNA
Rfam family: Bacterial small subunit ribosomal RNA
Source: RNAcentral
AGAUUGAACGCUGGCGGCAGGCCUAACACAUGCAAGUCGAGCGGCAGCACGGGUACUUGUACCUGGUGGCGAGCGGCGGACGGGUGAGUAAUGCCUAGGAAUCUGCCUGAUAGUGGGGGAUAACGUUCGGAAACGGACGCUAAUACCGCAUACGUCCUACGGGAGAAAGUGGGGGAUCUUCGGACCUCACGCUAUCAGAUGAGCCUAGGUCGGAUUAGCUAGUUGGUA